AAUAUCAUUUAUCAAAAUAGAUUGAUUUUUAUUUCUACUCUUUAAAUUUAUAAAUGGAUUUAAAAUAAAAUAUUUAAUCAAUUUGUUUAAUAUCUAUAGUUAAUUUAAACAAUUACUUCAAUAAAUUAAUUAUUUGCUUCCUUUUUUUUUAUAGAAUUUUAAAUGUUUUACAAAACCGCAUUUAAUUUAAAUGUCAUUUUACUAGGUAGAUUGAUCAAUAUUGAUAGUACAAGGUCCGACACACAGGCCAUAGUACUAAAAGACGUAUCCCAAAGUACCUAGUACGCAGAGGAGGGGGGAGUACUGGUGAUACAGUAUCCCGAACACGGUCACAACCUACCAGCAACUAGAAGUCCGG
This 358-nucleotide long non-coding RNA is filed under the name Zostera marina. Its description in RNAcentral is "long non-coding RNA (ZMAR_LNC000521)". The record is from RNAcentral. Lineage: Eukaryota; Viridiplantae; Streptophyta; Magnoliopsida; Alismatales; Zosteraceae.